CCUACGGGGGGCAGCAGUGGGGAAUAUUGGACAAUGGGGGAAACCCUGAUCCAGCAAUGCCGCGUGAGUGAAGAAGGUCUUCGGAUUGUAAAGCUCUUUUGGCAGGGAAGAUGAUGACUGUACCUGCAGAAUAAGCCCCGGCUAACUUCGUGCCAGCAGCCGCGGUAAUACGAAGGGGGCUAGCGUUGUUCGGAAUUAUUGGGCGUAAAGAGCGUGUAGGCGGCUUUUCAAGUCAGAAGUGAAAACCUGGGGCUUAACCCCAGAACGGCUUUUGAUACUGUAAAGCUAGAGUUUGGAAGAGGAUAGUGGAAUUCCUAGUGUAGAGGUGAAAUUCGUAGAUAUUAGGAGGAACACCGGUGGCAAAAGCGACUGUCUGGUACAUAACUGACGCUAAAGUGCGAAAGCGUGGGGAGCAAACAGGAUUAGAUACCCUUGUAGUC
RNAcentral lists this ribosomal RNA (440 nucleotides) under uncultured bacterium. RNAcentral's name for it is "bacterial SSU rRNA". It matches the Rfam family "Bacterial small subunit ribosomal RNA", at positions 338 to 795 of the family's 1533-position model. The record is from RNAcentral.